CGUCGCUUGCACUAGCGAGCAGACGGACUCUUAAUCCGUAGGUCGAGUGUUCGAGUCACUCAGGGCCCACCA
This 72-nucleotide transfer RNA is filed under the name Ramlibacter sp. WS9. RNAcentral's name for it is "tRNA-Lys". The record is from RNAcentral. Lineage: Bacteria; Pseudomonadati; Pseudomonadota; Betaproteobacteria; Burkholderiales; Comamonadaceae.